UACGUAGGUGACAAGCGUUAUCCGGAAUUACUGGGCGUAAAGCGCACGCAGGCGGCGUGGUAAGUCUGAUGUGAAAUCUCCCGGCUUAACUGGGAGGGGUCAUUGGAAACUGCCGAGCUUGAGGCGAUGAGAGGGGUGUAGAAUUCCCGGUGUAGUGGUGGAAUGCGUAGAUAUCGGGAGGAAUACCAGUGGCGAAAGCGGCACCCUGGCAUUAGCCUGACGCUCAUGUGCGAAGGCGUGGGGAGCAAACAGG
This 253-nucleotide ribosomal RNA is filed under the name uncultured bacterium. RNAcentral's name for it is "partial 16S ribosomal RNA". It matches the Rfam family "Bacterial small subunit ribosomal RNA", at positions 524 to 776 of the family's 1533-position model. The record is from RNAcentral.